ACUCCUACGGGAGGCAGCAGUGAGGAAUAUUGGACAAUGGAUGGAAAUCUGAUCCAGCCAUGCCGCGUGCAGGAAGACUGCCCUAUGGGUUGUAAACUGCUUUUGUAUGGGAGCAAUAAGCCCUUCGUGAAGGGUGAUGAGAGUACCAUACGAAUAAGCAUCGGCUAACUCCGUGCCAGCAGCCGCGGUAAUACGGAGGAUGCAAGCGUUAUCCGGAUUUAUUGGGUUUAAAGGGUGCGUAGGCGGUUGGAUAAGUCAGCGGUGAAAGUUUUCUGCUUAACAGGAAAAAUGCCGUUGAUACUGUCUGGCUAGAAUAUGGUUGCUGUGAGUGGAAUGUGUGGUGUAGCGGUGAAAUGCUUAGAUAUCACACAGAAUAUCGAUUGCGAAGGCAGCUCACAAAGCCAUUAUUGACGCUGAGGCACGAAAGUGUGGGGAUCAAACAGGAUUAGAUACCCUGGUAGUC
RNAcentral lists this ribosomal RNA (463 nucleotides) under uncultured bacterium. Its description in RNAcentral is "bacterial SSU rRNA". It matches the Rfam family "Bacterial small subunit ribosomal RNA", at positions 335 to 795 of the family's 1533-position model. The record is from RNAcentral.